UAGAUUAAAAACCUCGGUCAC
This 21-nucleotide non-coding RNA is filed under the name Caenorhabditis elegans. Lineage: Eukaryota; Metazoa; Nematoda; Chromadorea; Rhabditida; Rhabditidae. The record is from RNAcentral.